GCUAUUUUGGCAGAUUAGUGCAAUAAAUUUAGAAUUUAUUAAUAUAGUUUUAUUCUAUAAAUAGUA
This 66-nucleotide transfer RNA is filed under the name Cephalopina titillator. Its description in RNAcentral is "tRNA-Leu". The record is from RNAcentral. Lineage: Eukaryota; Metazoa; Arthropoda; Insecta; Diptera; Oestridae.